Molecule: ribosomal RNA, 301 nt
Filed under: uncultured bacterium
Lineage: Bacteria
Description: partial 16S ribosomal RNA
Rfam family: Bacterial small subunit ribosomal RNA
Source: RNAcentral
CAGCAGCCGCGGUAAUACGGAGGGUGCAAGCGUUAUCCGGAUUUAUUGGGUUUAAAGGGUCCGUAGGCGGACUUAUAAGUCAGUGGUGAAAGCCUGUCGCUUAACGAUAGAACUGCCAUUGAUACUGUAAGUCUUGAGUAUAUUUGAGGUAGCUGGAAUAAGUAGUGUAGCGGUGAAAUGCAUAGAUAUUACUUAGAACACCAAUUGCGAAGGCAGGUUACCAAGAUAUAACUGACGCUGAGGGACGAAAGCGUGGGUAGCGAACAGGAUUAGAUACCCGAGUAGUCCCUGUCUCUUAUAU